UACGGAGGGCGCAAGCGUUGUUCGGAAUUACUGGGCGUAAAGCGCGUGUAGGCGGCUUGGAAAGUCGGGGGUGAAAUCCCGGAGCUCAACUCCGGAACUGCAUCCGAUACUGCCAAGCUCGAGUCUCGGAGAGGAUGGCGGAAUUUCCGGUGUAGAGGUGAAAUUCGUAGAUAUCGGAAGGAACACCAGUGGCGAAGGCGGCCGUCUGGACGAUGACUGACGCUGAGACGCGAAAGCGUGGGGAGCAAACAGG
This 253-nucleotide ribosomal RNA is filed under the name uncultured bacterium. Its description in RNAcentral is "partial 16S ribosomal RNA". It matches the Rfam family "Bacterial small subunit ribosomal RNA", at positions 524 to 776 of the family's 1533-position model. The record is from RNAcentral.